Long non-coding RNA from Sceloporus undulatus (fence lizard), 1148 nucleotides. RefSeq lists it as uncharacterized. The record is from RefSeq and is a predicted model, not a curated record. The transcript is spliced from 3 exons. NCBI's taxonomy places the organism in Eukaryota, Metazoa, Chordata, Lepidosauria, Squamata, Phrynosomatidae.
UCUGAUGCUGCUUGGGAAAGGGCAAAGAGCUACUGGGGAAUGAAUGUAUUCACGUUUUAACAUGAACAGGAGACAUGUAGGCGAGGAGGGGGAAAGCGGAUGUUUCCGAUGCCGCUGGGUAAGGCUGCUUGUGUCACUGGAAAAAACGGAGCAUAUCUCCCAGAAAAAGAGUGCUAGUAUGGGUGCCAAAAGGGAUCAUAUCUUCCAUAGAAAGGCUCCUUGUGUGUGGCUGGAAAAAAAUGGACCAUAUCUCCCAGAAAGAGUGCUAGUUUGGAUACCAAAAGGGACUCUAAAGCCCAUAGAACAUGAAGCAAUCUUUCACGUGAAGCUAGCAUUCACAUGAAAGUGGAACCAGGAAGUGGCCCCCUUCUUAACCCCAGAAGUGCAAAGGUUCAGGAUGUGUUCAGACCCCACUGAGCAUGCACAAGGGUCCCAAUUCAAAUCGUUGUAUCCUCAUGUAUGUACUGGUGUGGUAAUACAAUGUGCGCUCACUCCGCUUUGACUCUGGAAUUACCACAAUUUUGUUCUUCACGUGUGAUAGUUCAUCACGUGAAUUGCCUUGGAUUUGAAGUGACUCUGCUCGGCUAAAGUGACCAUCAGUCAGAAAAGAUUUGAAAGCACACAACAACAGUGCCAGCGAAGGUGCUGCUUUGCCUUGGAGCUGAGUUGUCCAGCCCACAAUAAACCUGGGUGCCCUCAAAUCAUACAUCCACCCCAUAGAAUCAGAAGGUUCUCAUGGAAGGUUUUCCUGCAGAAUUCCUGCAGAAUUCAGGCCCAGUCCUUUCCCUGGAGACAAGAAACAGCCAGAGGUGUGUGUCUGGUAGCUUUUCUGUUGCCAAUAGCGUUGAAUUUUUAUUAAAUCUAAUGUCUUUAAUUGCCCUUUGUUUCUACAAGGCCAAGAAGGGGAGCAUCCUAGCUGACAGCAGAAGUAACAUCUGAGACCAAUAUGUGACAACUUGGACAUGACUGGUAUUUUAUGAAAGCAGCCACAACAUUCUCCCAAAACCACUCUCCACAGAAUCCUACUCCACUGUCUCAUCAUGGCAUGACCACGAAGCAAGCUUGUUUUCUGCUGCUCCAGAGAAUAGGACCUGGACCAAUGGUUUCAAACUACAGGAAAAGAGAUUCCACUUUAACAUUAGGAAGAC